UUAACUGGGAGGGAAGGGGGGAUGACGUCAAAUCAUCAUGCCCCUUAUGACCUGGGCUACACACGUGCUACAAUGGACGGUACAAAGAGCUGCAAGACCGCGAGGUGGAGCUAAUCUCAUAAAACCGUUCUCAGUUCGGAUUGUAGGCUGCAACUCGCCUACAUGAAGCUGGAAUCGCUAGUAAUCGCGGAUCAGCAUGCCGCGGUGAAUACGUUCCCGGGCCUUGUACACACCGCCCGUCACACCACGAGAGUUUGUAACACCCGAAGUCGGUGGGGUAACCUUUUUGGAGCCAGCCGC
RNAcentral lists this ribosomal RNA (300 nucleotides) under Bacillus cereus. Its description in RNAcentral is "bacterial SSU rRNA". It matches the Rfam family "Bacterial small subunit ribosomal RNA", at positions 1158 to 1456 of the family's 1533-position model. The record is from RNAcentral. Lineage: Bacteria; Bacillati; Bacillota; Bacilli; Caryophanales; Bacillaceae.